UACGUAGGGUCCGAGCGUUGUCCGGAGUUACUGGGCGUAAAGCGCGCGCAGGCGGCUGACUAAGUCUGACGUGAAAGCCCCCGGCUCAACCGGGGAGGGUCGUUGGAGACUGGUUGGCUUGAGGGCGGUAGGGGCUGGUGGAAUUCCCGGUGUAGUGGUGAAAUGCGUAGAGAUCGGGAGGAACACCUGUGGCGAAGGCGGCCAGCUGGGCCGACCCUGACGCUGAGGCGCGAAGGCGUGGGGAGCGAACGGG
RNAcentral lists this ribosomal RNA (253 nucleotides) under uncultured Sphaerobacter sp. Its description in RNAcentral is "partial 16S ribosomal RNA". It matches the Rfam family "Bacterial small subunit ribosomal RNA", at positions 524 to 776 of the family's 1533-position model. The record is from RNAcentral. Lineage: Bacteria; Pseudomonadati; Thermomicrobiota; Thermomicrobia; Sphaerobacterales; Sphaerobacteraceae.